AGAUUGAACGCUGGCGGCGUGCCUAACACAUGCAAGUCGAGCGGUAACAGGUGUAGCAAUACAUGCUGACGAGCGGCGAACGGGUGAGUAAUGCUUUGGAAUCUUCCCAGUAGUGGGGAAUAACCAGUCGAAAGAUUGGCUAAUACCGCAUACGUCUGUAAAGGGAAAGCGGGGGCUCGUAAGACCUCGCGCUAUUGGAUGAGCCAAAGUCGGAUUAGCUAGUUGGUGGGGUAAUGGCCUACCAAGGCGACAAUCCGUAGCUGGUCUGAGAGGACGACCAGCCACACCGGAACUGAGACACGGUCCGGACUCCUACGGGAGGCAGCAGUGGGGAAUAUUGGACAAUGGGGGAAACCCUGAUCCAGCGACGCCGCGUGUGUGAAGAAGGCCUGCGGGUUGUAAACCUCUUUCACCAUCGGCGAAGCCGGAAGCUUUUGUUCUGGUGACGGUAGGUGGAGAAGAAGCACCGGCCAACUACGUGCCAGCAGCCGC
RNAcentral lists this ribosomal RNA (492 nucleotides) under uncultured bacterium. RNAcentral describes it as "SSU rRNA". It matches the Rfam family "Bacterial small subunit ribosomal RNA", at positions 26 to 518 of the family's 1533-position model. The record is from RNAcentral.